UCUUCCCAGCGACAAUGCAGUACUUCAAGCAAUCAUCAAGCCUCCGCUCAUUCUUCCCAUCGAUGUAACCUUCUGAGCUAAACCCACAGAUCUGUCCACCGAAUCGGGUCGGGAACUUGGAGGUGUCGAACCGAUCAAUCAAGCUGAUUCCACUCUCGCCGGAGAGCAGCUUCUCGUAGUAAGCGUCGACGUCGUUGCCGAAGACGGAGACGAGGCCCAUUCCGGUGAUUACGACCCGUUUCUUCGGGUAUGUUUCGCGUUUGGGGGCGGAGGUUGAUGCAGAGAUGAAUGAGCGUCUUCUCGUGGGUUGUCUCAUAUUUGUGGUGAUGUGGUGAGAUCGGAUUGAGGGUUUUAGGAGUGGGUUUGGUGGAGAGGCGCGGAGAGAUGAAGGGUGAAGAGCUUGCAUGGCGGAUCCGAAGAGAGAGAGAGUGAGAGAGAGGCGAUAAGUACUAUGUUUGUGUGAAAUGGUGUGUGUGUGUGUGUGAGAUGAGCGUUUGUGGAAAGAGGUUUUGGAGUUCGUCAGAUUUGACGAGCAGAUGAUAUUUAACUCAAUUAAUAUUUACAAAUAUUUUAAUUAGUUUUCUUUUAAAGUCCCUUGAUAUUUAUAACUAUUUUAGUUUUGGUCAUAAAGUUAUGUUAUCUUUACAAUUUGGUCUUCAGCUGACGUAUUUCCGUAGACUAGUUAAUAGGGAUGUUGUCGUGGGCUCAUUUCUAAAGGGUUAGCCCGACCCGCAUGAAAAUUUAUAACCCUAAACCCGUAUUUUUUAAUGUGGGUUAAGAAUGGGCCGCCUAAUUUUACGCUAAGGUACCAAUAGGGUUAAUUAUUUCCCAUCUCUCUUUCAGUCAUAUCUUACAACUCGACAUCGAAAUCAAAAUCAAAGGCCGUUCUGAAUCAAAAUCAAAGGUUCUGGGUUUGUUUUAAAUCGAAAUCAAAGGCGAGGGGUUUGUCCUGAAUCGAAAUCGAAGGCCAUAUGUUCUUAUGAAGACGAAAAUGAAAUCGAAGGCUAGGGGUUUGUUCUGAAUCGAAAUCAAUGGCCCAUCUCACAUGGAUCUUCUGAAAACAAAAACGAAAUCAAAGGUAUCUCUCGAUCUUUUGGGUUAUCUUCUCUUAGACUUGUAGACUUCUAGUUGUAUUUGUAGAUGAGUCCUUCCUUAGAUGUUCCCUUUUGACAAUGUAAUGGUGUUAUCAAUGAACUUUGGACUUGAUUUGUAUUGGGUCAGUUCACAGCUGUGAGUUUUAUGAUUUUGGAUUUGAUUUUGAACAGAUUACCAGUGGAACUGAGUAGCUGUGUGUUGAGUCUAAGAGUUGGGUAUUAGUUCUUCAAGGUUAGUCCUUUUCCAUCUCUCAUAAUAGCUUAAGCAAUGAAGAAUACAGUUUCUGCUCUAUAAAAUUUACUCUAUUAAAUGCAAAGCUACUGUGAUCUUAAAGUUCCAAAUAAAAUUGAGACAUAGCUUUCCUAAUCACACUUGUUUGUUACUUGUUUCCAUGGAGAAUCGGUUCUUGUAAUGUGUUAUGUGACUAGCUUCUGUUCUUUCAGUUUUGUUCUGUGUCUAGCUUGUGAAUGUGUGACUGCACUGACUGAGUAUUAAAAGGAAACCGAUAUUAUAUUGCUUUGCUUCAGGAGGACCAAUCCGUUUUAGAAAAGCUAUUGGACAUCUUGGCAUCUUGCACCUGAGCUUGGGAAUCUCGAACAUUUACAAUAUUUGUAAGUCAUCACAUCUUUUGGGAAGCUCGAACAUUUACACUAUAUGAAUAAUAUUUGUUCUUUUUGUUUGUGUCAAUGUCUGAUCUUACAACUCAACUCUCUGUGGUGUAAUUGUCUUGCGUGUGCCUAACUUGUGUUCUCUUAGUGGUUAACUUGUGUUCUUCCAUGUGUUCAAUCAUAUUUGCUUCAAAGAAUCCCAAAGUAAUAAUAUAAUUUUUAUUUUUUUGUUGCAGGCUGCAGCAUGGACUCACAAACAGUACAAAGAAUGGCAGCUCUUGAGGCAGAAAACGAAUUGAUGGACUUGGAGUAUAAUGAAGAUGAAGACUCCCAAGAAGAGGAACAUGAUCUUAGUGUCAAUGAAUCUGCUCACUCAACACAUACUCAACGUCCAAAGAGACACACACACACUCCACGAGCUUCACGAUCUCCACGAGCUCCACGAUCUCCACUAGCUCCACGAUCUCCACGAGCUUCACGAUCUUCACGAGCUCCACGAGCUCUAAGAGCUAAACGGCCUAGACAGGUACGUAAAAAAACUUCUAAGUGUUGGCUACACUUUACAUCGGUAGGCGUAGAGUCUGAUGGUAAAGAAAGGGCUAAGUGUCACUACUGUGGUAUUAAGUUAGUUAUAGAUAGGACUCAUGGAACUUCAACAAUGAAUCGCCAUUCACGCUCUUGUCUAGAAAAACCUGAAACCGAAGUUGUUGAAUAUGAUCCGCAGUUUUCAUGAGAAAACGCGUUUUGCAGUUUUGGCGGGAAAUGCAUUUGAUGAGAAAACACAUUUCCGGUUUUGGUGGGAAAACACGUUUUGUGGUUUUGGCGGGAAAACAUGUUUUUGUGUUUUGGCGGAAAAUUGCAUUUGGGGGGUUUUGGCUUGAAAACGCGUUUUUGUGAUUUUGGCAUGAAAAAACGUCUUUGCGUUUUUUUGCGGGAAAACAUGUUUUUGCCAUUUUGGCGGGAAAACACAUUUUUGCAAUUUUGUCCGGAAUUGCGUUUUAAGGGUUUUGGCGUGAAAAAUUCGUUUUUAGGUUUUCGCGGGAAAAUGCAUUUUUGUGGUUUUGUCAGUUUUAGUGUAUGAUAAAAUGAUAUUAUGUUUAGGUUUGUAAUUUGUGAAUUACAUCAGGGGUAUAAUAGACAUUAUACCAUAUUGAAUGAACCAUCUCCAUUCAAAUGGUCCAAAUUGGUUCAGCUGAAUGGACUUUUAAAUUAAACCUACAUUUCCGAAAGUCAUUCGGAUGAUCCAUCCAAAUGAGUUGUACUUUUAGUGCCUAAACGAACAAAUCUCUCAUCUCCAUCCAGAUGGCUCAUCCGGAUGGAGAAACAAACAGGCCCUAACUUAGAGUUCGUAGAAAAAGCAGAGCCAAAAUCAAUCAGCAAGACACCUUGGCAGAAACAACACCAAAAUUGGAAGGAGUUGAAAAAGAGGCAAAGCAUCUAUCCUCGAAUUAUUGGAGAAGGCCACAUGCAGGAACUAAUGCUCUGGAACUUAUUAUGAGCCACGAGUUCAACCACAAUAAACCAUCAAAGGGAGCCGAAACAACUUUAACAUUCGAACACCCGUGGCCAGAUGCAAGAAAGACGAAAGCUCCUUUUUCCUUUAGAACGAGCCAGAGACUCCAUAAAUAAAGAGUACACUGAAGAAUCUGUUCUCAAGCAUGCAAACUAAGGAAAAGCAAACUCUCCAAGUAAGGUGAAUUCACCACCAGAAGCAAAAAACAAGACACACCAACAAACCAGAAAAGAGCUAAGCCAAUAACCGGAGAAAAAAGAGUACCUUAGACAAGCACAAAAGGCAAAGGAACACUUUCGAAUCGACGAAGGAGACACGGCGAGAAUACGCCGAAAGAGAACCUCGACCCCUGCCAAACUGCUCAUCUCUCCGGAUUUGGAGAACUAGAGUAAAACUGUUUUUUUGAAGAACUCAAGCCAAAACAAACAAAAAUCCACACAAAAAUUAAAAAUAGAAGAGCAGACAGACCAAUGCAGUGGCUGUGGGAGCCAGCGAGUCAUCGGCCGGAAACUAGAUCUGAAGGUUUUUGUAACAUUGUCGGCCAGAAACUGGAUCUAAAGGUUUUUGUUCUGGAGAGAAGGGAGAGCUAUUUGGAGGAGAGAGGAUAGUAUAAACGUAAUGCUUGAUGGACUUGGUUGUUAAAAUCUCCAGUUACACAUUUUCGACAUGUCUAACAAAGAUGAAAACCCCUAAUUGGGUUCAUUCCGACACUAAUACCAUUUGCUACAUGAUUCUUGGUUCUGUUUAUAAAAUUAGGCUAAUAUAAAACGAACUAAAGAUACAACAUUCCGUACACAAAUUGUAGAAGCAAAAUCUGGAUUCUCAACACCUCAAUGACCAAUAAGAGUUGAGCAAAAAUUAACAAUGACCAAUAAAAGUUGAGCAAAAAUUAACAAUGACCAAUAAUAACAAAAAGCUGAAAGGAAGAAAGUGCUCAACUUGUGAACCAAAAAGCUGCGAAGAAGAUGAUGGUGGUGAUCUAACAGAUGGACCAGAGGAUCUAAAGGGUCUGAGGAAAUCAGGGUUUGAAGGCAGAGAAAGCGACCACUGAGUUAUGUCCACCGAACCCAAACGAGUUUGAUAUGGCUGCAACCAAAGAAGAAAUACAGUCACUAUCAUAGAAACCAUUGUCGGUUUAAGACAAUGACAAGAAGGCCGGUCAGUCACUUACCAACAUUCACCUCAUGCUGCUUCUUCUCGUUUGCGACCGUAUCAAAGUCCACUGCUGGUUCUGGGUUCUACAAUGACAAACAGAGUGUUAAUAAUGAUCUAAAAUAAAGAAAGCCACGAGAAAUAGAGAGAUAAUACGUACAAAUUGGUUGAUAGAGGGAUGCAGCCAUCCCGUGUUGAUAGCCUUUAUGGUGGCAAUGGCUUCAAGACCUCCAGCUGCACCGAGGCAGUGACCUAUCAUAGACUGUAACAUGCAUUCACAAAACUAUCAUUACAGGAAAUGCAAAGAAAACCAAUAACAAGAAAUAGCAAUAUUAAGUAGAUGGAGACGAAUCUUGGUGGCAUUGAUUUUGAUCCCUGAAGUGCUCUUGAAUACCUUUUUAAUGGCAUUAAUCUCAGCAAGAUCACCAGCCAGAGUGGAAGUUGCAUGGGCAUUGAUGUAAUUUACCUGGGACAAGAACGUUCAGACAAUCAGCCAUAAAAUUUUGGUAAUAAACUAUAGCAAACUUUGUUACAAACAGCCAUAAAUGUUAGUUACCUCCUCAGGUGAAACACCAGCGUCUUCAAGGCAGCUCUCAAUGCAUGAAGAGACACCAAGCCCAUCAGCUCUUGGAUCAGUCAUAUGAUGAGCAUCGCAGUUAACAGCUCCUCCAAGAUACUCUGCUACAAUUGGAGCACCACGUUUCAUUGCAUGUUCCAAGCUUUCCAUCACCUAUCAGAGCAUAUAAUAAAUCAAUACAAUCCAUGGAAACAACAUUUCACAUGUUUGAGAGUACAUACCAGAACACCAGCUCCUUCACCCAUGACAAACCCAUCUCUCUGUUUAUCCCACGGCCUUGAUGCUGUCUGAGGAUCAUCAUUUCUCUGUGAAAGCGCCCUACAAGCAACAAAACCUCCCAAGCCAAUAGGAAUAAUAGCAGCCUCGGUUCCACCAGCAAUCAUCAUAUCAGCUUCACCACGUCGAAUAUGGUUCGCAGCGGCGUAAAAGCAGUAGUUAGAAGUGGCACACGCCGUCGAGAUCGAGUAGUUAGGACCCAUAAGACCAAGAUCAAUCGCCAGCAAAGCAGAACCCAUGUUUGUAAUAGCAUAAGGAAUAAAAAACGGAGAAAUCCUCCUGUGACCUUUCUCAAUAAGAGCUUGUACACCGUCUGAAAACACAGUCAAGCCACCCAUAGCAGUCCCAACUAGUACUCCAGCUCUCCGCUUAUCAAUCUACAACAAGUUGGAAACUUUGGUUAAACCCAUCAAAGAUAAAUCAACCCCUUGAGUAAAGACAUGAACUUUAAACUGAAUCAGUCUUAAAGAUUUGAACUUUGAUCAAUUAACAAGAACACCCACAAGUUGAAAACUUUGGUUAAACCCAUCAAAGAGAACCCAACCCUCAUGGCUAAAGACAUGAACUUUAAACUGAAUCAGUCUUAAGGAUUUGAUUUAUGAUCAAUCCAAGAGAGUAGUACCGUGUUAAGCUUAUCACCACCAAGAUUUGCACUUUCAAGAGCCUUCUUCCCAGCGACAAUGCAGUACUUCAAGCAAUCAUCAAGCCUCCGCUCAUUCUUCCCAUCGAUGUAACCUUCUGAGCUAAACCCACAGAUCUGUCCACCGAAUCGGGUCGGGAACUUGGAGGUGUCGAACCGAUCAAUCAAGCUGAUUCCACUCUCGCCGGAGAGCAGCUUCUCGUAGUAAGCGUCGACGUCGUUGCCGAAGACGGAGACGAGGCCCAUUCCGGUGAUUACGACCCGUUUCUUCGGGUAUGUUUCGCGUUUGGGGGCGGAGGUUGAUGCAGAGAUGAAUGAGCGUCUUCUCGUGGGUUGUCUCAUAUUUGUGGUGAUGUGGUGAGAUCGGAUUGAGGGUUUUAGGAGUGGGUUUGGUGGAGAGGCGCGGAGAGAUGAAGGGUGAAGAGCUUGCAUGGCGGAUCCGAAGAGAGAGAGAGUGAGAGAGAGGCGAUAAGUACUAUGUUUGUGUGAAAUGGUGUGUGUGUGUGUGUGAGAUGAGCGUUUGUGGAAAGAGGUUUUGGAGUUCGUCAGAUUUGACGAGCAGAUGAUAUUUAACUCAAUUAAUAUUUACAAAUAUUUUAAUUAGUUUUCUUUUAAAGUCCCUUGAUAUUUAUAACUAUUUUAGUUUUGGUCAUAAAGUUAUGUUAUCUUUACAAUUUGGUCUUCAGCUGACGUAUUUCCGUAGACUAGUUAAUAGGGAUGUUGUCGUGGGCUCAUUUCUAAAGGGUUAGCCCGACCCGCAUGAAAAUUUAUAACCCUAAACCCGUAUUUUUUAAUGUGGGUUAAGAAUGGGCCGCCUAAUUUUACGCUAAGGUACCAAUAGGGUUAAUUAUUUCCCAUCUCUCUUUCAGUCAUAUCUUACAACUCGACAUCGAAAUCAAAAUCAAAGGCCGUUCUGAAUCAAAAUCAAAGGUUCUGGGUUUGUUUUAAAUCGAAAUCAAAGGCGAGGGGUUUGUCCUGAAUCGAAAUCGAAGGCCAUAUGUUCUUAUGAAGACGAAAAUGAAAUCGAAGGCUAGGGGUUUGUUCUGAAUCGAAAUCAAUGGCCCAUCUCACAUGGAUCUUCUGAAAACAAAAACGAAAUCAAAGGUAUCUCUCGAUCUUUUGGGUUAUCUUCUCUUAGACUUGUAGACUUCUAGUUGUAUUUGUAGAUGAGUCCUUCCUUAGAUGUUCCCUUUUGACAAUGUAAUGGUGUUAUCAAUGAACUUUGGACUUGAUUUGUAUUGGGUCAGUUCACAGCUGUGAGUUUUAUGAUUUUGGAUUUGAUUUUGAACAGAUUACCAGUGGAACUGAGUAGCUGUGUGUUGAGUCUAAGAGUUGGGUAUUAGUUCUUCAAGGUUAGUCCUUUUCCAUCUCUCAUAAUAGCUUAAGCAAUGAAGAAUACAGUUUCUGCUCUAUAAAAUUUACUCUAUUAAAUGCAAAGCUACUGUGAUCUUAAAGUUCCAAAUAAAAUUGAGACAUAGCUUUCCUAAUCACACUUGUUUGUUACUUGUUUCCAUGGAGAAUCGGUUCUUGUAAUGUGUUAUGUGACUAGCUUCUGUUCUUUCAGUUUUGUUCUGUGUCUAGCUUGUGAAUGUGUGACUGCACUGACUGAGUAUUAAAAGGAAACCGAUAUUAUAUUGCUUUGCUUCAGGAGGACCAAUCCGUUUUAGAAAAGCUAUUGGACAUCUUGGCAUCUUGCACCUGAGCUUGGGAAUCUCGAACAUUUACAAUAUUUGUAAGUCAUCACAUCUUUUGGGAAGCUCGAACAUUUACACUAUAUGAAUAAUAUUUGUUCUUUUUGUUUGUGUCAAUGUCUGAUCUUACAACUCAACUCUCUGUGGUGUAAUUGUCUUGCGUGUGCCUAACUUGUGUUCUCUUAGUGGUUAACUUGUGUUCUUCCAUGUGUUCAAUCAUAUUUGCUUCAAAGAAUCCCAAAGUAAUAAUAUAAUUUUUAUUUUUUUGUUGCAGGCUGCAGCAUGGACUCACAAACAGUACAAAGAAUGGCAGCUCUUGAGGCAGAAAACGAAUUGAUGGACUUGGAGUAUAAUGAAGAUGAAGACUCCCAAGAAGAGGAACAUGAUCUUAGUGUCAAUGAAUCUGCUCACUCAACACAUACUCAACGUCCAAAGAGACACACACACACUCCACGAGCUUCACGAUCUCCACGAGCUCCACGAUCUCCACUAGCUCCACGAUCUCCACGAGCUUCACGAUCUUCACGAGCUCCACGAGCUCUAAGAGCUAAACGGCCUAGACAGGUACGUAAAAAAACUUCUAAGUGUUGGCUACACUUUACAUCGGUAGGCGUAGAGUCUGAUGGUAAAGAAAGGGCUAAGUGUCACUACUGUGGUAUUAAGUUAGUUAUAGAUAGGACUCAUGGAACUUCAACAAUGAAUCGCCAUUCACGCUCUUGUCUAGAAAAACCUGAAACCGAAGUUGUUGAAUAUGAUCCCAAAGUUGAUAAGGAAAUGGUUUCUGAGAUUAUAAUUUAUCAUGACCUUCCUUUUCGCUAUGUAGAAUACGAAAAGGUUAGGGAGAGAGAUAAAUAUCUUAAUCCAGAAUGUGAGCCUAUAUAACUGAAUCAAUCUUAAAAAUUUGAACUCUGAUCAAUCUACAAGAACACCCACAAGUUGAAAACUUUGAUUAAACCCAUCAAAGAGAAACCAAACCUCAUGACUAAAGACAUGAACUUUAAACUGAAUCAAUCUUAAAAAUUUGAACUUCGAUCAAUCUACAAAAACACCCAAAAGUUGAAAACUUCGAUUAAACCCAUCAAAGAGAAACCAACCUCAUGACUAAAGAUAUGAACUUUAAACUGAAUCAAUCUUAAAAAUUUGAACUCUGAUCAAUCUACAAGAACACCCACAAGUUGAAAACUUUGAUUAAACCCAUCAAAGAGAAACCAAACCUCAUGACUAAAGACAUGAACUUUAAACUGAAUCAAUCUUAAAAAUUUGAACUUCGAUCAAUCUACAAAAACACCCAAAAGUUGAAAACUUCGAUUAAACCCAUCAAAGAGAAACCAACCUCAUGACUAAAGAUAUGAACUUUAAACUGAAUCAAUCUUAAAAAUUUGAACUCUGAUCAAUCUACAAGAACACCCACAAGUUGAAAACUUUGAUUAAACCCAUCAAAGAGAAACCAAACCUCAUGACUAAAGACAUGAACUUUAAACUGAAUCAAUCUUAAAAAUUUGAACUUCGAUCAAUCUACAAAAACACCCAAAAGUUGAAAACUUCGAUUAAACCCAUCAAAGAGAAACCAACCUCAUGACUAAAGAUAUGAACUUUAAACUGAAUCAAUCUUAAAAAUUUGAACUCUGAUCAAUCUACAAGAACACCCACAAGUUGAAAACUUUGAUUAAACCCAUCAAAGAGAAACCAAACCUCAUGACUAAAGACAUGAACUUUAAACUGAAUCAAUCUUAAAAAUUUGAACUUCGAUCAAUCUACAAAAACACCCAAAAGUUGAAAACUUCGAUUAAACCCAUCAAAGAGAAACCAACCUCAUGACUAAAGAUAUGAACUUUAAACUGAAUCAAUCUUAAAAAUUUGAACUCUGAUCAAUCUACAAGAACACCCACAAGUUGAAAACUUUGAUUAAACCCAUCAAAGAGAAACCAAACCUCAUGACUAAAGACAUGAACUUUAAACUGAAUCAGUCUUAAAGAUUUGAACUUUGAUCAAUCUAAAGAGAGUAGUACCGUGUUAAGCUUAUCACCACCAAGAUUUGCACUUUCAAGAGCCUUCUUCCCAGCGACAAUGCAGUACUUCAAGCAAUCAUCAAGCCUCCGCUCAUUCUUCCCAUCGAUGUAACCUUCUGAGCUAAACCCACAGAUCUGUCCACCGAAUCGGGUCGGGAACUUGGAGGUGUCGAACCGAUCAAUCAAGCUGAUUCCACUCUCGCCGGAGAGCAGCUUCUCGUAGUAAGCGUCGACGUCGUUGCCGAAGACGGAGACGAGGCCCAUUCCGGUGAUUACGACCCGUUUCUUCGGGUAUGUUUCGCGUUUGGGGGCGGAGGUUGAUGCAGAGAUGAAUGAGCGUCUUCUCGUGGGUUGUCUCAUAUUUGUGGUGAUGUGGUGAGAUCGGAUUGAGGGUUUUAGGAGUGGGUUUGGUGGAGAGGCGCGGAGAGAUGAAGGGUGAAGAGCUUGCAUGGCGGAUCCGAAGAGAGAGAGAGUGAGAGAGAGGCGAUAAGUACUAUGUUUGUGUGAAAUGGUGUGUGUGUGUGUGUGAGAUGAGCGUUU
Molecule: long non-coding RNA, 10101 nt
Filed under: Brassica napus (rape)
Lineage: Eukaryota; Viridiplantae; Streptophyta; Magnoliopsida; Brassicales; Brassicaceae
Description: long non-coding RNA (BNAP_LNC011773)
Source: RNAcentral